UGCCCCUUCCUAAGUUUUGACAUGGCAUUGUGAUGCAAGCUACAGCCUACUUCCUGUCUCUUCCAGUAAAUAAUCUGGUUAAAAUACUUUUCUUCACCUUUGGCAAACACCAGGCUGACAUUUAUUGUUCGUCAGGAAAGAGAUUGUCGUGGCAAUCCCAGUCGACGGAGAACUCACUGGACUGAUUUGUCCAUGAGUCAUCAUUUCUUCAGUCUGGAUUAACGCACAGAGCCCAUUCAGUACCACACCUCUCACAGACUUUUAUUUCAUCAUAGUGCAGUAGUUCAAAUUAGUAGAAGUAAAUUGUUUAUGUUCUUGAGUUAAAUGAAGAUCUUAACUUUCACAAAGAUAUGAGAUAUUGCGCCUUCAUUUCAUUGACAACAUUGGCAACUGGCAACGAGCAAAGCAAUGAGCAGCGAGAAAAGUCUGCCACACAUGAACUAAAGCUAAUUAAAUAACUACACACACUUUUUUUAACACACUUUGUUUUUUGCAUUCAGCAAAUUAAGUAUUUGUCUGGAGCACAACACGUUUGACAAAUGGCUCCACCCAAUAAUACAAAAUAGAGGUUUAUGAUCAACUACAAAUAAUGCAGGAGUUCUGGGUGGUGAAAUCACAGAUUCUGCCCCCAAAUCAAGCCAAGACAAAUAAAUGGUCUGUCUUCAGAGAAUAGGGUAGAACAGGAGCCCAUUUGACGGGCUUUCCUAUAAUUGUACUGUUUGUACAAUGAUCUUUGUGUGUGUGCAGUGGUCUGGUGUAUCUGCUGUACUCAGUGCAGUCAGUCAGCAGUAAGUGGCAUUUCCCUUGCUUUGUAUGAAACACUAAAUUCCCCUUACUUCUGGAUAUCAGUCACAGAGUAGGCCAGGAGGACUAGACUGUGGUUCCAUGACUCAACUAAUCAUUUCCAACCUCUUCUGCAUCUUUGUCUGACUUUAUAACUACUGCGGCCAAGUUCAUGUUAACAGCAAGGGAGUCAAUUCCUGGUUAGUACUCCAAAAAGAUUUUUUUUAAAUAUGACACAAGAUGAAGUUACAAAGAAUACCAUACUGCUGCUCCUGGGAAACAGAAUCCAUGAUGACACAGGGGAAGAAGUGGUUUGUGUAUGACACACUUGUGAUAGUAUUGUGCAGACUGUUCUUCCUUGUGGUGUGCCACUUCCACAUGAAGAUACAGUUAGACGUAAAGGACACAUGAUCUGGAGUAAAGUUCUUGUGCAUGUUGUGUAAAUGGGUGGUGGGGUGGGGGGGGGUUGGGUAACAAACACAAAUUCUUUCUCAGUGGGAGUCGUGUGAUGUGGAACUCCACACUUCAUCAGAAUCUUCUCGUGUGAACGUGUCCAUCACAGGGGUCACUAGUGGGACAUAUGCAAUCAGGCAGCCACUGUCAUUGUGAUUUGUUAAAUCUCUGUGUAAGGAUUUCUUACAGUAUGUACUAAAUUCAUACUGAAUGAUUUAAGUGUCUGUGUGAGUGAGUUGAUAUAUAGUGUAACCAAAUACAGUAUACCUAUCGCUGAGCAUUUUUUUUGUUUUGUUCUCUCUUUUCAAACAGUGGAUUUUUUGCUGUAUUUUGGAGGGGGGGAGGGGGGUGUUGAUUUCCUGUGGAUGACAAAGUAACUUCAAUACAACAGCAAGGAUUUCCAUUCCAGGAGCAGUUGAUAUGACAAGAGAGAACUGUGCCCUGGAGAUCUUAAACAGCAGGUCCCUCUGGUUGUGUCUGGAGAAGGUCGAGGGACAGACUGGGGAGAGAAGCAAGGUCUUCUGGGUAAAAUGGGUAGGUGUGGAUGUCACUGAACUCACAUCCGUGACCCUCGCUCCUGGAGAAUCUGCAAGAGCAGAAAGCACCGUGUGUUAUGAACGCGUAAAUCAACCUCAUCAAUUAUAUCAAUUCAUCCU
Long non-coding RNA from Clupea harengus (Atlantic herring), 1892 nucleotides. The record is from Ensembl. NCBI's taxonomy places the organism in Eukaryota, Metazoa, Chordata, Actinopteri, Clupeiformes, Clupeidae.